RNAcentral lists this transfer RNA (82 nucleotides) under Fusarium langsethiae. It matches the Rfam family "tRNA". Rfam says of the family: Transfer RNA (tRNA) molecules are approximately 80 nucleotides in length. Their secondary structure includes four short double-helical elements and three loops (D, anti-codon, and T loops). The record is from Rfam by way of RNAcentral. Lineage: Eukaryota; Fungi; Ascomycota; Sordariomycetes; Hypocreales; Nectriaceae.
GGCGCAGUGGCAGAGUGGUCUAAUGCGAUAGACUAGAAAUCUAUUCUCUUCGGAGGCGUCUGUUAGAACCAGGCCUGCAUCG